AGCCACCACGCCCGGCCGGCGCCAGCCCUCUCUAUCAUGACCGGGAAAGUUUAAAAUCUUGACCAAUUAAUAUAGUUAGAUUAUGAAAGAAAUAGAGCAGAAAUGGAGAUUUUUCAAAGAACUGGAAAUAAAACUACCAUUCAAUCCAGCAAUCCCACAACUGGGUAUAUAAGCAAAGGGAAAUAAACCGUAUAGAAAAAGAUACUUGCACUCGUACAUUUAUCACAGCACAAUUCACAAUAGCAAGACCUGGAAUCAAGUGUCCGUCAGUGGAUAACUGGAUAAAGAGUGGUAUAUAUACAUCCCAUGGAAUAUACUCUGCCAUAAAAAGAAUAUCAUGUCUUUUACAGCAAUGCAAAGAGAAUUGAAAGUCAGUAGACUUAGUGACAUAACGCAAAAAUGGAAAGUCCAAUACUGCAUGUUCUCACUGACAAGUUGGAGCUAAAAAACGGGUAAACACGGACAUACAGAAUGAAAUAAUAGAUAUUGGAGACUACAAAAGGUGGAAGGGUGGGAUGGUGGGAGGGAAGUGAGGGCUGAAAAGUUACCUUUUGGGUACAAUGAUCACUACUCAGGCGAUGGGUACACUAAACCCCAGACUUCACUACUACACGAUAUAGGCAUGUAGGAAACCUGCACUUGUACCCCUUAAAUAUAUAAAAAUAAAUAAAUUAUAUUUAAAAAGAAAGAACACAGAGAAUAUUCAAGAUCUGGUAGUACCUAAUUACCAGUAUUAGAUGAGCACACUUGUCAGGUAAUAACCAAUCGUCUCUCCAACAGUUACUUGGUGGUUAACUACUAAAAUGUAGUCAACAUGGAAGUCACGCCACUAAUUUCUCUUUUCUUAAUAACAGCAUUUGUGCUUGAAGUGAAUGUUUGUCAUAUUUGGUUUCCCAGUAUAUAAACUCAUUCUUAUUUCAGAGGGAUCUCCACUGUGAGAGUCUUUGUUUAAAGGGAGCCAUAACUUCCUGUACAAAUGAAAGACGGGACCAGACACUCCAUCUCUCCACCCAGCCCUGAGAGUUAAGGUGCAGGCAUGUGGCCAAUAACAGGACAAUUAGAUACCACAGUGAGAACUUUGAAGCUUGAGCAAGUGACAUUAAGACAAAGUAAGAGUUAAAAUCCAUUAAUAGUAGUAGUGACAUUAAGAGUUAGAAUUCAUGAAUAGUGGUGGCAUGUAGUGAUGAAGGUGGUGUUGCAGUUUUGAAUGCUGGUGGUUAGCAUGCCUAGCAUGCCUAGAAAGAGUGGUAGAAAAGUGAUAAUAGUGGCACUCUAACCAGGUUGUUUCUUUAAUGCAUUUGUUUCUACUGCCAAGCCUUCCUUAGUUUCUGCUAAUUUUAGGAGUCUUCCAAUUGUUUCUUUGAGCUACUAUUUUGCCAAGUCCAUUUCAGAUUAACUUAAUCAUCUUCUGUUACUUAGACUCAAGCAAUCAGGGUUAUAGAAAACAGAGCCUUAGAAACACAUGGGAAUAAGACAUUGGUUGCCUGUCCUAGGUUGAGGCAAAUGUCAGUCAAAGUCAUAUCAAUAUUUCAGGAUAGAAAUAUGAAAGCUCAUGAUACACAUGGUUACAAAAGAGGAACUUGGAAUGAUUGCAAAAGAGAAGCAAGAGGAGUCUAAGAAUUCAAGAGAGCAAGGUCAGGUGGCUGCUCUUAACAGCACUUGCCAGCUUAAAAAAAGAAAAUAGCAAUUUCAAGUCUCCAUACUGCAUGAUGUAAGGCAUAGAGCUUACCAGAAUAUCUUAUAGCUCAUAACUACAUAACUGAGAUUGCUAAACUAAGCUGAAAGUUUCACCCUAAUGGUUGUUCAAUUACGAUAACAUUGGAAUUCCCAGUCUCACCAUUUCUCAGUGAAAAUAAAAGCAUUGAUUAGGCAUGAGCAAAACUCUUAGGAUUGGAAAAGCAUCUUGAAACCAUAAACCCAUGAAAAGUAUUUGUCCGAAUAAGGGUCUCUUUGUCCUAUGGGUGGAUUCUCAUUCAAGAGUGAAGCCAGUGCUAAAGUCCCAGCUCUUUCAGGCUGUCCAUGUCUUUUAUCAAACUUAAAGCCUCACAUGCUCCAACGAGCUAAUUAAAAGCCAAACUGAGUAGGAGGAAUCUUACAUACACCAAAGUAUUGCUGGAUUUGGUUAUUCUAGAUUAUUGAAAAUCUGACUAGUGAGUAUUGGAAUGUAUUCUGAGUAUACUAGAACAAGGGAGAACAAAUUUAAUCCCAAAUCCAACACGGCAUCUAUUUGAGAGAAAGUCUGAGUAUGCAAGACUGGUUCACACUAUGCAAUAUUAUGAUAGUCCACCCUAGGCAUAGGCCCAUUGACAAAAAUGUAUUGGCUGCAUAUAGAGAAGAGUGUUUACUGUCUCUGGAAGCUAGGAAUGUUGGACUAGAUGCACAUGCUUUUUUCCUGUCCUCACUCUCAAACAAUGAGAAAUGAACCUGGGGAAUGCCAGCAUUUGUGAACAGCACUUCAAUGAUGAUUUCCUAUAUCUUGUGAUGCUACAGUUCAGAUAUACAUUCGUUAAUUUUAAUAGAGUGGGAGGAUUCCAGAGUGUGAGAUGCAAAGUGGUCACCAAAACAGUAAUCAGAGAAGGCAGCAGCACCAGUGUGGGAAACAAGAUGGUCCUAUUCACAGAGGUCUUAGGAAGUAGUUAAUUGAUCACAGGACCUGUAGAACAAAAAUAGAUGAGUAGGCAUCAAGGCCUGAGAAUUUUAGAGCAAACCCAUGUUUGUUUCAGCAAAUAACUAUUCUCUUUUUGACAAAUGACACUUGCCCUGUAACUGGGUACUACCGGAGAUCAAUCUGGUCAUGGGAUAUCAAGUGACAUGCAGUCUGAGUUGACUAGUAAGACUUGGACAUUAUACGCUCCUCCGUUCACAAAUUCACGUCUUCCCAGCAGCAGUCCAUCAUUAACUCAAAGUAAUUUACGUGGAAUUGGAAGUGAGCAGAUCAGGAAGGCACUAGUAAUCAUUCACACUCCCAGCGUAUUUACUCCUUUCACAAUUCUGCCCCCUCUAAAACUACCUAUGGCUUCCUGAGUAAUUUUCCAGGAGAAUCAAAAUACUUUGUGAUCAUCAUAUAGACAUACUAUUGACACUAGACAGAAUGCCACAACAUUUCAGCCAGUUUAGAAGUGGCCCAAGAGGAUUGUGGAGAGGAGAAAUACAUUGGUAAUCCCUCAGUGGCUGCAUUUUAUGAACUUUACCUGUGGAGAGAUUAUCUGGGGUAAGUUUCCACAUUGAUUCAUUGUCAGUAAAUGAUGGUUUUGCCAGGCAUUCUAGAACAAGAUUAGAGAAUGUACAACAAGAAUCUAAGGGUAAAAGGUAUGUGAGAAGUCCUCUCAGAAUGAGCCCAAAGUUUGAAAACAUUCACAUCUCCUAUGAGUAUUCGCAAAAAGUCCCCUAAAGUAAGAGGACUUUAAAUAAACAUAUACACAAGAUGAUCUACCCUGUGGGCAUCUGUUAGCUUCCUUUCCUAACCACUCUAGUGCUUUAACUUAUGAACAAGGGGGCAAGGUAGCAUAGUUAGAGGUUAGCCAUAAAUUCAAAACAUGGAUUUUAAACUUGACCAAGAUGAUUAGUCCAUUGACUGGUUUGUCCCCAGCAGCAGCAAAGCCAGAGCUCCUAUUCUGAUAAUCAUACCUCAAGGCCACCAGUCAUAUGUUCAGUGCCACAUUGAUUCUAUUUGACCCUGUUCCCUCAAGAAGGGGAUAAUAGUCGGUCCUUGCAAGUAUGAGGGCAUUCUGGAUUUAGAUUUGUCUUCUCUGCCCAUCAUUUUUCUGCAAACAACAUCACCUGUGAACCUACUGAGCACCUUGCACAUAAUCACAGUAUCCCAUAAAAUAAAAUUGCAUUCAGGAAUUCACUUUGCAAUUAAAGAACUCAGGCAGUGGGAUGAUGCCAAUGGAAUUCAGGAUCUCAAAACACAGCAUCAACCAGAUGCAGAUGGCUUUGUAGAGUAGUGACGUCAUCUAUAUGACUCAGUCUCAGCAGGGAGAUAACUCCUUCUCAAGUUGGGGUGCAGUCUUAUAAAAUGCAAUAUACAUUCUGAUGCUAUGAACAAUAGAUGUUACUAUCUUUCCAUAGGUAGAAUCAAAGUCUCUGGAAUCUAAGGGGUAAAUGCAUGAAUAGUCACUCUCAGAUAAAUGACCCAUUUACAAUUUACUUUUACUCAGCUUCCUCAAUUCUGGGCUCUUCCAAGUUUAGAGGUUUUCAUAAUAAAGGGAGAACUUCCAUCUCUACAGGCCAAUGAUAUUAUGGGAUCUGAGACUGCCGCAUAGACAUUUUAGGCCCCUAUGAAUAAACAGGCUGUCUUCUGUUACUGAUACUAUCUUUUUGAUAGUCAGGAUUAGGAUUGUUGCAUGCAGCAAAAAGGGUUAUGGAAAUGGAAACCAGAGGAGCCUUUAUGUUGACUCAUUAUUCUAUCAUUCCCAGUGGCGGAAAAUAAUGGACCUUUACAUCCCUUGUAGAUAGGAUCGCCAACAUUUGGGUUUCCACGCUGGGUAAGAAACCAGAUCAAAUGAGUUGCUAGGGAGAAGCAAAAGGAACACGGAUUGGUUGUGGAGAAGGAAGGUGCUAAACACUAACUUCAUGAACUAGCUUUCUUGCCAGUUAUCCAUAAUUUCUAGAGCCUUCAUCCAUAAUUUCUCUUUGUUGUGGAAAUGUGAUUUUAUAUGUUUCAAUUUCCCUUUUGGUUUCUAUCUCUCUCCCCCACAGUUACCUAUAGGGUGUGUUGUCUGUGGCCAACUUUAAACUUGCUCCAUAGGUUGCAGAAUAUCUAACCAAGAUCACCGCAGAAUAAGGAGAGAAAUGGCCCACCACCUGGAAGGCUGUAACGUGGAGCCAUAAGCAGAUAUUGAGAAUGUGGGAUGUCUCCCUUUGGGGAAAAGGACAUACAAGGAGAAGUCAGCAGUCUGCAACAUCGAACAGGACCCUUACCAGAACCCAACCAGUCUGGCACCCUGAACCCAGACUUCCAGCCUCCAGAAUGGUGAGAAAUAAAUUUCUUUUGCUUAUAAAACACCCAGUUCAUAGUAUGUUCUUAUAGCAGCCUGAACAGACUAAGACAGAGGAUAUCUGUGGUAUAUUUUUAACAAAAUCAUAGACAGCACAAAGCAGGCUGGAGAAAGAAUGGGGGUGGAGUAUGAGGAAUAGAACACAAUGAAUGACUGAAUCAGAAUGGAAUAGAUACACAAUCAGCUGGAGUCAAGGUCCAAAUAAAAUAAGAUGAAAUAUAGUAAAUACAAAUAUGGAAUUCUGCAUGAUCAAAAAAACAGCUGCA
RNAcentral lists this long non-coding RNA (5266 nucleotides) under Homo sapiens (human). RNAcentral's name for it is "HSALNT0101051". Lineage: Eukaryota; Metazoa; Chordata; Mammalia; Primates; Hominidae. The record is from RNAcentral.